AGAUCUAAUUGUGGCCCGACCAUGAACAAAGGGACGAGACAGAGGACAACAGCGAUGUUUGUGAGUCUUUAUUGCCCGACUGACCCAAAUGAUGUGGGAAUCAUUUGCUGAAUGUGGAGAGGCUGGAAGUAGAUGAUACAUAAUGGGAUAAGAAUUGCUUUUUUCUCAAGAAAAUACUCAAAGAAGAACUGAGCCACAGGAUCAAGACUCAGACGGCAAAACAGUGGAGGUCAAGUUGAAUCUGCAUUAUUGAUCACCUGGAGGAACGAAGCCACCGGCUCGCUGCUGCGGCGCCACGUCGACCUUCUCUGGAGGGACAAUUACUCUGCAAUACACUGGAUUAAAGUGGGAAAGUUCCAGAAAACCAGCAGGAUCCACUUCAAAAUGUGCAGAAUGUGAUUGCAAUGCGACCAGAUCAGUUUUUACUGAGCAGAAUGUUCUGGAUAUCUGAGGAUCUGCAGCACAUGCAGAUGUUGGGUGAUCUUCACAGCUCUGCCCACCGUUCAUCAAUCCACUUUUUGACAAUUGAUAAAGCUUCAUUCCUUGAGCGCUGAGAAAAUACAGAUCCCUUAAACUCUUCCCUCCUAAUGAGCACAGCUAUUGCGUUUACAGGCUAACGUUAACUUUACCUAAAGUUGGAAAACUUUGAAGUUGCAAUCAAGGCUGUUAGUUCCAGAAUGAUGAGGAUCUCCUCCUAAAGUAAGCAAACGUUUAAAACAGUAACCCUUAAGAUCUCAGGUUCAACUUGUGCUAAUUCUAACAGACGGAUGAUUUUACACAACAGUUCGUCCCAAACUCGACAGUCCAUCCAAACACCAGAAUCCACAAUCUGAUCAAAAUAUGAGACUAGGUGGAUUUCCCAAAACAUGUGUUCCACCAACAGAAUAAAUCCAGACAGAUAUUUUAUUGAUGGCAAUAAAGUGCCUCUUCAUAAUAGAUGUACAAAAAAUGUACUUUUACUCUUUCAACAAAAUGGUCUGCUGUUCAAUGGGAAACAAACUUCAAGGAAAAAUACCGACUCACCGGUCGGACAGAAAAAUGUAGUAUAAUUUUGAGAACAUUUCAUUCUCAAUCAUUUUUAGUAAUUCCAAACUCAGUUACCGAAUACUAAAAUUGAACUUAUUGUAAUUACAUCUCAGGGUCCACUUCAGGGUUCACUCGUGGGCCACGGCCUACACUUUGAGAGUCACUGACAAAAGACACUAAUUGAGUUCACUGCUUAAUAACUGGAUCAUAUUAAUGUGAAAUAUUAGUGCAGGACUGUUAAAGAUAUUUUAGUUCAGGGGCCGCACACAGCCCAGUUUCAUCAUGAGUAGGCCGGACUGGUAAAA
This is a long non-coding RNA of Salarias fasciatus (jewelled blenny), 1331 nucleotides long. RefSeq lists it as uncharacterized. The transcript has 2 exons. NCBI's taxonomy places the organism in Eukaryota, Metazoa, Chordata, Actinopteri, Blenniiformes, Blenniidae. The record is from RefSeq and is a predicted model, not a curated record.